CCUACGGGUGGCAGCAGUGAGGAAUAUUGGUCAAUGGACGAGAGUCUGAACCAGCCAAGUAGCGUGAAGGAUGACUGCCCUAUGGGUUGUAAACUUCUUUUAUAUGGGAAUAAAAUGUUCCACGUGUGGGCUUUUGUAUGUAUCAUAUGAAUAAGGAUCGGCUAACUCCGUGCCAGCAGCCGCGGUAAUACGGAGGAUCCGAGCGUUAUCCGGAUUUAUUGGGUUUAAAGGGAGCGUAGGUGGAUUGGUAAGUCAGUUGUGAAAGUUUGCGGCUCAACCGUAAAAUUGCAGUUGAAACUGGCAGGCUAGAGUACAGUAGAGGUAGGCGGAAUGCGUGGUGUAGCGGUGAAAUGCUUAGAUAUCACGAAGAACUCCGAUUGCGAAGGCAGCUCACUGGACUGCAACUGACACUGAGGCUCGAAAGUGUGGGUAUCAAACAGGAUUAGAUACCCUUGUAGUC
Molecule: ribosomal RNA, 460 nt
Filed under: uncultured bacterium
Lineage: Bacteria
Description: partial 16S ribosomal RNA
Rfam family: Bacterial small subunit ribosomal RNA
Source: RNAcentral